This 719-nucleotide long non-coding RNA is filed under the name Medicago truncatula (barrel medic). RNAcentral describes it as "long non-coding RNA (MTRU_LNC000871)". Lineage: Eukaryota; Viridiplantae; Streptophyta; Magnoliopsida; Fabales; Fabaceae. The record is from RNAcentral.
GAUCAGCUUGCCCCAAAUCAUACCUGCAGGUUUCAUUAUCCAUCAGUUUCUAAAUGCCAAAAGAAUAAUAAUAACAUACAAAAAAUUCAUGUACUAAAGUGUUCAUUUCAAUACAAGGGAAUACAACUAAUUUGAUGUUAUUAACUCAACCGAAUUUUAUGUACUCUUGAGUAUGUUUCAUGGAAUUUUAUUUUCAUAUAUUAACAUCGUGUGCUAUUUAUUUAUGCAUUAACGAGAAUUACUCACGCGCGAUAUGCUCCAAUCAAUGCUACAGCCAUCAUUGUGCAAUUGUGCGCAGCAGUUACUCCUCGAGGAUCAUCUUCGAAAACAACACACUUGGAAGGUUUCCGAUCAAGCUGCAAGGCAUUUUAGGCAAACAAGUCAAAAAUUAGCACCAAAUUAUAGGAAGAAUGAGAAAGAAUUUAUGGAAGAUUUGCCCGAAACUUAGGUAGUGGAAACUAAUCCCACCAAAUGCAACAUCUCAAUAAUGGCGCUUUCGGCCAUUAGCAUUUAUUGUUAUUGAUGUCUAAGGCCACACGAUUAGCAGCAGCAAUUAGUUAGGAACAAUAUCAUUGCAGCCAAAAGAAUUCCAUGUUGUACUAGGAAACUCUAGCUAUCGGGAUUUUAAUGUGAAACGAACCAUUAACUUGACCUUUAAAACUACAUCACUCAGCCCACAUCUUUGAAAAGGAAAAUAUUAAAUUCUCCCAUCUCAGUUU